This 401-nucleotide ribosomal RNA is filed under the name uncultured bacterium. RNAcentral's name for it is "bacterial SSU rRNA". It matches the Rfam family "Bacterial small subunit ribosomal RNA", at positions 28 to 424 of the family's 1533-position model. The record is from RNAcentral.
GACGAACGCUGGCGGCGUGCUUAAUACAUGCAAGUCGAGCGAGGCCCAUCCAGUGGCAACACUGGGGAAGGCCGAGCGGCGAACGGGUGAGUAACACGUGAGCAACCUGCCCCGAAGUCUGGAAUAACAUCGGGAAACCGGUGCUAAUACCGGAUUGCCCCACCUGACCGCAUGAUCGGGUGAGGAAAGAUUUAUCGCUUCGGGAGGGGCUCGCGGCCUAUCAGCUAGUGGCGGGGUAACGGCCCACCAAGGCGUCGACGGGUAGCUGGUCUGAGAGGACGACCAGCCACACUGGGACUGAGACACGGCCCAGACUCCUACGGGAGGCAGCAGUGGGGAAUAUUGGGCAAUGGGCGAAAGCCUGACCCAGCCACGCCGCGUGAGUGAUGAAGGCCUCGGUC